UUUGGUUAAGUUAGAAAGGGCGCACGGUGGAUGCCUUGACACUAGGAGUCGAUGAAGGACGGGACUAACGCCGAUAUGCUUCGGGGAGCUGUAAGUAAGCUUUGAUCCGAAGAUUUCCGAAUGGGGAAACCCACCAUACGUAAUGGUAUGGUAUCCUUAUCUGAAUACAUAGGGUAAGGAAGACAGACCCAGGGAACUGAAACAUCUAAGUACCUGGAGGAAGAGAAAGCAAAUGCGAUUUCCUGAGUAGCGGCGAGCGAAACGGAACAUAGCCCAAACCAAGAGGCUUGCCUCUUGGGGUUGUAGGACAUUCUAUACGGAGUUACAAAGGAACGAGGUAGACGAAGCGACCUGGAAAGGUCCGUCGUAGAGGGUAACAACCCCGUAGUCGAAACUUCGUUCUCUCUUGAAUGUAUCCUGAGUACGGCGGAACACGUGAAAUUCCGUCGGAAUCUGGGAGGACCAUCUCCCAAGGCUAAAUACUCCCUAGUGAUCGAUAGUGAACCAGUACCGUGAGGGAAAGGUGAAAAGCACCCCGGAAGGGGAGUGAAAGAGAUCCUGAAACCGUGUGCCUACAAAUAGUCAGAGCCCGUUAACGGGUGAUGGCGUGCCUUUUGUAGAAUGAACCGGCGAGUUACGAUCCCGUGCGAGGUUAAGCUGAAGAGGCGGAGCCGCAGCGAAAGCGAGUCUGAAUAGGGCGUUUAGUACGUGGUCGUAGACCCGAAACCAGGUGAUCUACCCAUGUCCAGGGUGAAGUUCAGGUAACACUGAAUGGAGGCCCGAACCCACGCACGUUGAAAAGUGCGGGGAUGAGGUGUGGGUAGCGGAGAAAUUCCAAUCGAACCUGGAGAUAGCUGGUUCUCCCCGAAAUAGCUUUAGGGCUAGCCUUAAGUGUAAGAGUCUUGGAGGUAGAGCACUGAUUGGACUAGGGGUCCUCAUCGGAUUACCGAAUUCAGUCAAACUCCGAAUGCCAAUGACUUAUCCUUAGGAGUCAGACUGCGAGUGAUAAGAUCCGUAGUCAAAAGGGAAACAGCCCAGACCGCCAGCUAAGGUCCCAAAGUGUGUAUUAAGUGGAAAAGGAUGUGGAGUUGCUUAGACAACUAGGAUGUUGGCUUAGAAGCAGCCACCAUUUAAAGAGUGCGUAAUAGCUCACUAGUCGAGUGACUCUGCGCCGAAAAUGUACCGGGGCUAAAUACACCACCGAAGCUGCGGAUUGAUACCGAAUGGUAUCAGUGGUAGGGGAGCGUUCUAAGGACAGUGAAGUCAGACCGGAAGGACUGGUGGAGUGCUUAGAAGUGAGAAUGCCGGUAUGAGUAGCGAAAGACGGGUGAGAAUCCCGUCCACCGAAUGCCUAAGGUUUCCUGAGGAAGGCUCGUCCGCUCAGGGUUAGUCAGGACCUAAGCCGAGGCCGACAGGCGUAGGCGAUGGAGAGAAUCCUAAGGUGUGCGAGAGAACUCUGGUUAAGGAACUCGGCAAAAUGACCCCGUAACUUCGGGAGAAGGGGUGCUUUCUUAACGGAAAGCCGCAGUGAAUAGGCCCAAGCGACUGUUUAGCAAAAACACAGCUCUCUGCGAAGCCGUAAGGCGAAGUAUAGGGGGUGACACCUGCCCGGUGCUGGAAGGUUAAGGAGAGGGGUUAGCGUAAGCGAAGCUCUGAACUGAAGCCCCAGUAAACGGCGGCCGUAACUAUAACGGUCCUAAGGUAGCGAAAUUCCUUGUCGGGUAAGUUCCGACCCGCACGAAAGGUGUAACGAUUUGGGCACUGUCUCAACCAGAGACUCGGUGAAAUUAUAGUACCUGUGAAGAUGCAGGUUACCCGCGACAGGACGGAAAGACCCCGUGGAGCUUUACUGUAGCCUGAUAUUGAAUUUUGGUACAGUUUGUACAGGAUAGGCGGGAGCCUUUGAAACCGGAGCGCUAGCUUCGGUGGAGGCGCUGGUGGGAUACCGCCCUGACUGUAUUGAAAUUCUAACCUACGGGUCUUAUCGACCCGGGAGACAGUGUCAGGUGGGCAGUUUGACUGGGGCGGUCGCCUCCUAAAGUGUAACGGAGGCGCCCAAAGGUUCCCUCAGAAUGGUUGGAAAUCAUUCGUAGAGUGCAAAGGCAUAAGGGAGCUUGACUGCGAGACCUACAAGUCGAGCAGGGACGAAAGUCGGGCUUAGUGAUCCGGUGGUUCCGCAUGGAAGGGCCAUCGCUCAACGGAUAAAAGCUACCCCGGGGAUAACAGGCUUAUCUCCCCCAAGAGUCCACAUCGACGGGGAGGUUUGGCACCUCGAUGUCGGCUCAUCGCAUCCUGGGGCUGUAGUCGGUCCCAAGGGUUGGGCUGUUCGCCCAUUAAAGCGGUACGCGAGCUGGGUUCAGAACGUCGUGAGACAGUUCGGUCCCUAUCCGUCGUGGGCGUAGGAAAUUUGAGAGGAGCUGUCCUUAGUACGAGAGGACCGGGAUGGACGCACCGCUGGUGUACCAGUUGUUCUGCCAAGGGCAUAGCUGGGUAGCUAUGUGCGGAAGGGAUAAGUGCUGAAAGCAUCUAAGCAUGAAGCCCCCCUCAAGAUGAGAUUUCCCAUAGCGUAAGCUAGUAAGAUCCCUGAAAGAUGAUCAGGUUGAUAGGUUCGAGGUGGAAGCAUGGUGACAUGUGGAGCUGACGAAUACUAAUAGAUCGAGGACUUAACCAUAUAA
Molecule: ribosomal RNA, 2675 nt
Filed under: Bacillus paranthracis
Lineage: Bacteria; Bacillati; Bacillota; Bacilli; Caryophanales; Bacillaceae
Description: 23S ribosomal RNA
Rfam family: Bacterial large subunit ribosomal RNA
Source: RNAcentral